RNAcentral lists this long non-coding RNA (4317 nucleotides) under Hordeum vulgare. RNAcentral describes it as "long non-coding RNA (HVUL_LNC009321)". The record is from RNAcentral. Lineage: Eukaryota; Viridiplantae; Streptophyta; Magnoliopsida; Poales; Poaceae.
GCGGUGAGAGGUGUCCAAUAUUUUCCAUGCUAGAUGUGUUAUUCUUACGAUGAGUGUUCAUUCACUUGUCAUUGCACGAGAGUACGGCAAAGGUAUUAGGGAUGCCCAAUCCCGAAAUGGAAAAAAAUGAAUUUACUUUUUGUUGUCAAAUAAUAAAUUCCUUGGAAAGUUUUGGUAUGGAGGUCACCCGUGGAUACGGACAAGCCAUGGAAAGUGAAAGUAAUGGUGGAAAAAGGAAUAAACUUUAUUUUCUGUUUGGGAACUGCCUAUUAUGUAUCUAGCAUGAAAAGUGUUGGGAGCUCUAAGUCGUUUUCGUUGGUGGGAAAAGUAUGCCUCCCAAAAUGUUUUGAUCUCUCAAUUUUUGCUUUGAGCUCUAGCACCUCUACAAAUCCCUAGUUCCCUCUGAGAAGGGCCUUUCUUUUACUUACGCAAUUUUUAUUUUGAAUUUGAGUCUCCAUCUUCUCUCAUAAAGCACCAACUAAGGGGCACUAUGAUCGUAUCUGAGCAUUGGGUGUAGCUAAUAUUCGAGUGUGUUUCAGGAAUGGAUCAAUGAUAGAGCAUAAUGGGCCCCAAUAUUAGCUAAAAUACGAUCAUCAUUAUUCCAGAAACCCUAGGGGGCGAAAAUCAAUUCUAGCCGCCGCAGAGUCCAGAAACACCAGAUCCAAUCUAGACACCCCUCACGGAGGUGUUCAUCAUGUCCAUUGGUGCUUCUCCGAUGAUGCGUGAGUAUUCUUUGUAGACCUACGGGUCCAUAGUUAGUAGCUAGAUGGCUUCCUCUCUCUCUCUUGAUUAUCAAUACAAUGGUCUCUUGGAGAUCGAUAUGAUGUAAGUCUUUUUGCGGUGUAUUUGUUGGGAUCUGAGGAACUUUGAGUUUAUGAUCAGAUCUAUGUUUUUAUCCAUGACAGUUAUUUGAGUCUUCUUUGAUCUCUUAUAUGCGUGAUUGAUUAUAGCCUCGUAUUUCUUCUUUGAUAUUUGGGUUUUGUUUGGCCAACUUGAUCUAUUUAUCUUGCAAUGGGAAGAGGUGCUUUGUGAUGGACUCGAUGUUAUGGUGCUUUAUCCGAGUGAUAGAAAGGGAAAUGACACGUAAGUACCGUUGCUAUUAAGGAUAACAAGACGGGGUCUAUUUCUACAUAAAUAGAUCUUGUCUACAUCAUGUCAUCAUUCUUAUUGCAUUACUCCGUUAUUCCAUGAACCUAAUACACUAGAUGCAUGCUGGAUAGCGGUCGAUGUGUGGAGUAAAAGUAGUGGAUGCAGGCAGGAGUCGGUCUACUAAUCUUGGACGUCAUGCCUAUAUAACGAUCAUUGCCGGGAUAUCGUCAUGAUUAUUUGAUGUUCUAUAAAUUUCCCAACAGUAAUUGUUUUCCCACCGUUUCCUAUUUUUCUCGAGAGAAGACACUAGUGAAACCUACGGCCCCGGGGUCUCUUUUCGUCAUACUUGCCUUUGCGAUCUAUUUUCCUUUGCUUUUACUUUCAGAUCUAUUAAACCAAAAAUAGAAAAAUACCUUUCUGCAAUUUAUUUGUUCCGCGAUCUAUUUAUCCUAUAUACCACUUUUACCUCAUGUUAUUUGCCUAUCUUUAGGAGUCGUACCCGAAAGGGAUUUACAACCCCUUUAACACGUCGGGUUGCGAGUAUUUGUUAUUUGUGUGCAGGUGUUGUUUACGUGGUGUGAGGAGGUUCUCCUACUGGUUCGAUAAACUUGGUCUCACCACUGAGGGCAAUACCAAACGUCACUACACUUCAUCAUCCCUUCCUCUUUGGGGAAAUACUGACGUAGUUCUAGCAGACAUCACGCAACUCCGGCGAGCAUGCAACCAGCGGUGGGUUCGCAGCGCUCCGGCAAGUGGGGAGCCAGCGGCGGGGCCACGGUGCUCCGGCGAGCUGCGGAAGGUGGCAGGGUUGCGGGGUCGAGCGGGUGCUAGAGGUGGCGUGCGAGUGUGCGGGGUGGAGCGAGAGGCGCACCCACGCAGCUCGCUAUGGGCGGCGGUGGCUCCCCUCGGGCCCGGUUCAUCCCGGGGCGGACCUGGCUUGGGCCGCGGCGGCUUGGGCACUGGGAAGCGACGUGGCAAUGCACGAGUGGUGGAGGGCGGCGGCUGCGAUGGCUGGGUGGUGGCCAAGUGGCAGCAGCGGAUGAGGCUGGUGUAGAAAACGAGGCAAAGAUGGGAGGAGGCCACUUUUGGUAGGUGGGGUGGUUUAAAUAGGCACGGGGUUAGUGUUUGAGGGUUUUGGGGGUGUUUCGAGCCCUCCGAUUGCAAUCGGACGGCUCUGGUUGCACCCUAGGGUUAGGUAGGCUUAGGUGGGCUGGUUGGGCUGUCCGGGGAAGAUUGUGGGCUGAGAUGAGAGGGAGGUUUGGGCCCGUGACAUGGUUUUUAAAACACUGAAACGUCCGACAAAUAAACCGAUGACAGUGCCUCUACGGUCGACCGUUCGGGUAUCAAACGGACUCUCAUUGCGACAAAUUUGGCACACGACUACCUCCAUUAAGAUACGACCGCACUGUAAGUUUCAACCCAAUCCGAGAAAGUUUUCUACACACUUUUAAAAAUAAGAUUUUAGCGAUGUCGCGGGCGCCUGGGUGUGUGGUUUGCUCCAAACUGUCAACGACAAAAACAAGGAGAACAGGAAACUUAUAAAGGAUGCAAGUUUUGAAAAAAUGACGACAACGGAGCACCGAUGCAAUGUGGAUGAUGUGAAUGAUGCGAUGAUGAAUGCAACAAACACACGAGUCACACGAUGAUAAUGGAAUAAAAGGGGAAUCUUCUGGAGCGUCGGUUCUAGGUUGUUACACUGCCUGUCUUCCAUCUCUUCUCCGCCUAGCCCGGUGCACAGUGCACCGACCUGUCGCAAUCUAGUCCAAAAACUUCACCUGACCCGAUCUAGACGGUUACGCCCGUGGAUUCCGGAUCAACCCCGUAAUACCCCAAAACUAUUAUCAGUUUUUCAAUUGGAUUCCUAACCUAUUAUGUAUGACCGUCUGUUCUAAAACAGAGGGACAAGAUAGCCCUAGCCUAAUCUUAAAACAAUAUAUAACAGGAGAAACCCUAUGCUAACCUGUCGCAUCCACUAAAUCCCUAUGCCGCCACCACCCCAAUCAUUGCCUCCAUUUCCAUGCUAGACCAACCAGCCUGCAGCCAUCCAUCCCACCUCGAUUCCAGCAACUCCCCAACCAGGUGUGACCAUGCGCCCGAGGAGAGCGAAUGCUCCUUCCUCAAGAUCGAGCAUGGCGGUCAGAGCCACUUCCCGAUCCAACAGCAGGGCGUUACCCAAGCCCCGCUCGCCGCCUCGCCGUACCCAUCCGAGCCGGACCCCAUGCCAUCCCUCGCGGUCUGCCAUGGGUGCUCGCCCCCGAGCUCGUCGUAGCCGCCCCACCAAGCCCUGUUGUCGGCUCGCACCGCCCGUGUCGGAGAGUGUCAUCGCCAAUUACCAGCUCCAUCACCAGGCUAGUCUCGUCGCCCUUGCUCCCUUCCCUCUCUAUUCAGUGUUGUAGCUCUCUCUCCCUCCCGUGGUUCUCUCUCUCCCCACUCUAACCUCCUUUCUCUCUCUGGCUGAACUAACUGUAGGAGGCCGCCAUGGUUGUCCCCGUCGCUCAUGCUUCGCCUCGUCUCGGCGGAGCUCAAGGCACCAGAUCCGCGCCAAAUCUUCCGGAUUCGCCCGUCGCCGACCUCGUGCACGUUGGAUCUCGCCUCCUCUGCCUCACCUCGCUCGAGAUGCCUCGCACAACUGACAGCAACUUGCGCUCUUGCACUUGCAUCUCGCAUUCCCAGCCACGAAAAUAGAGUUUUUCGCUUGUAGUUUGUUUCAGUUAGCGUUAGGCUAUGUUUUAUUUCUGGGAAACACAGUUUAAAUAAAAGUUACUUUGAAGCCGAGAUGGUCUGGCAAUCACGAGUUACUGGGUUCGAGUCCCAAGCACCCCAAUGUUUGCCUAUAGAAUUUUAGCAUCGAUCCAUCACAGGAGGGGAGUUGGGUUCGAAUCCCAGUGUCACCCUUUUUGUACUUCCUCUUCUAUUUAUUUUUCUUUUGCGCACACACACACUACCACUUGGGCCAAAUCAUCCUCGGCUGCUGCACUAUGUUGCAAUUCUUCCCCCGUUUUUUCGCGUGAAGAAUUUAACAUUAACGAGGAAAUGCAUAUUUCCCAAAAAAAGUCAUUAUUUUCAAAUGUUAAAAACUAAAUAACUAUGCAUGGGAUUAAAAUUAUUUAAACAUGAAAGAUUAACAAUAUUCUAUUUUCAUCCAUGCUAAAAAUGUUUAACUUGUUGCUUGCAUUAAUUUUCCAUAAAUGCCAUGCCAAAAUGAUUUAUUUCAUAACUUGCUAACCG